UGCAAGUCGAGCGAGCGGAACCAACAGAUUUACUUCGGUAAUGACGUUGGGAAAGCGAGCGGCGGAUGGGUGAGUAACACGUGGGGAACCUGCCCCUAAGUCUGGGAUACCAUUUGGAAACAGGUGCUAAUACCGGAUAAUAAAGCAGAUCGCAUGAUCAGCUUUUGAAAGGCGGCGUAAGCUGUCGCUAAGGGACGGCCCCGCGGUGCAUUAGCUAGUUGGUAAGGUAACGGCUUACCAAGGCGACGAUGCAUAGCCGAGUUGAGAGACUGAUCGGCCACAUUGGGACUGAGACACGGCCCAAACUCCUACGGGAGGCAGCAGUAGGGAAUCUUCCACAAUGGACGCAAGUCUGAUGGAGCAACGCCGCGUGAGUGAAGAAGGUUUUCGGAUCGUAAAGCUCUGUUGUUGGUGAAGAAGGAUAGAGGUAGUAACUGGCCUUUAUUUGACGGUAAUCAACCAGAAAGUCACGGCUAACUAC
RNAcentral lists this ribosomal RNA (481 nucleotides) under uncultured bacterium. RNAcentral describes it as "bacterial SSU rRNA". It matches the Rfam family "Bacterial small subunit ribosomal RNA", at positions 56 to 504 of the family's 1533-position model. The record is from RNAcentral.